This 174-nucleotide ribosomal RNA is filed under the name uncultured bacterium. Its description in RNAcentral is "partial 16S ribosomal RNA". It matches the Rfam family "Bacterial small subunit ribosomal RNA", at positions 1325 to 1500 of the family's 1533-position model. The record is from RNAcentral.
GCUGGAAUUGCUGUAAUGGCAGGUCAGCAUACUGCCGUGAAUACGUUCCCGGGCCCUUGUACACACCGCCCGUCACACCAUGAGAGUUGGAGAUACCCGAAGCCUGUGAGCUAACAAACGAGGCAGCAGUCGAAGGUAGAAUCAAUGAUUGGGGUGAAGUCGUAACAAGGUACC